UUAGAAUGUCCAAGCAGUAAGUCUUGUGAAGAGUCAAAUGCUUUUCACUUUAAGGACAAGCUGUGAUGGGGAGCGAAAUUUAGUAGCGAAGCGUCUGAUGUCACACUGCCGAGAAAAGCUUCUAGUGAGUACUUAACUACCCGUACCGCAAACCGACACAGGUAGUCGAGGAGAGAAUCCUAAGGUGAGCGAGUGAACUCUCGUUAAGGAACUCGGCAAAAUGACCCCGUAACUUCGGGAGAAGGGGUGCUGAUCGCAAGAUCAGCCGCAGUGAAUAGGCCCAGGCGACUGUUUAUCAAAAACACAGGUCUCUGCAAAAUCGUAAGAUGACGUAUAGGGGCUGACGCCU
This 349-nucleotide ribosomal RNA is filed under the name Lacticaseibacillus rhamnosus. RNAcentral's name for it is "partial 23S ribosomal RNA". It matches the Rfam family "Bacterial large subunit ribosomal RNA", at positions 1503 to 1860 of the family's 2925-position model. The record is from RNAcentral. Lineage: Bacteria; Bacillati; Bacillota; Bacilli; Lactobacillales; Lactobacillaceae.